RNAcentral lists this ribosomal RNA (478 nucleotides) under uncultured bacterium. RNAcentral's name for it is "partial 16S ribosomal RNA". It matches the Rfam family "Bacterial small subunit ribosomal RNA", at positions 28 to 523 of the family's 1533-position model. The record is from RNAcentral.
GACGAACGCUGGCGGCGUGCUUAACACAUGCAAGUCGAACGGUAAGGCCCUUCGGGGUACACGAGUGGCGAACGGGUGAGUAACACGUGGGUGAUCUGCCCUGCACUUCGGGAUAAGCCUGGGAAACUGGGUCUAAUACCGGAUAGGACUCCGGACUGCAUGGUCUGGGGUGGAAAGCUUUUGCGGUGUGGGAUGGGCCCGCGGCCUAUCCGCUUGUUGGUGGGGUGAUGGCCUACCAAGGCGACGACGGGUAGCCGGCCUGAGAGGGUGACCGGCCACGCUGGGACUGAGAUACGGCCCAGACUCCUACGGGAGGCAGCAGUGGGGAAUAUUUCACAAUGGGCGCAAGCCUGAUGCAGCGACGCCGCGUGAGGGAUGACGGCCUUCGGGCUGUAAACCUCUUUCAGCAUCGACGAAGCGAAAGUGACGGUAGGUGCAGAAGAAGGACCGGCCAACUACGUGCCAGCCGCCGCCGUAA